GUUGUCUAUUUUCUAACAAUGAGUCUUUUUGGGGGUUGUCUAUUUUCUAACAAUGAGUCUUUUUGGGGGUUGUCUAUUUUCUAACAAUGUAGCCAAUUUUCAAACAAUGUAGCCAUUUUUUUGGGGGGAGGUUGUCUAUUUUCUAACAAUGAGUCUUUUUGGGGGGUUGUCUAUUUUCUAACAAUGAGGCCAGUCUUUUUGGGGGGAUUGUCUAUUUUCUAACAAUUAGUCUUUUUGAGGGGGUUGUCUAUUUUCUAACAAUUAGUCUUUUUGAGGGGGUUGUCUAUUUUCUAACAAUGUAGCCAAUUUUCAAACAAUGUAGCCAGUCUUUUUGGGGGGUUGUCUAUUUUCUAACAAUGUAGCCAGUCUUUUGGGGGGGUUGUCUAACAAUCAGCCAGUCUUUUUGGCGGGUUGUCUAUUUUCUAACAAUGUAGCCAGUCUUUUUGGGGGGUUGUCUAUUUUCUAACAAUGUAGCCAGUCUUUUUGGGGGGUUGUCUAUUUUCUAACAAUGUAGCCAGUCUCACAGUUGUUUCCUGAUGUCUG
This is a long non-coding RNA of Oncorhynchus tshawytscha (Chinook salmon), 543 nucleotides long. Lineage: Eukaryota; Metazoa; Chordata; Actinopteri; Salmoniformes; Salmonidae. The record is from Ensembl.